This 253-nucleotide ribosomal RNA is filed under the name uncultured bacterium. RNAcentral describes it as "partial 16S ribosomal RNA". It matches the Rfam family "Bacterial small subunit ribosomal RNA", at positions 524 to 776 of the family's 1533-position model. The record is from RNAcentral.
UACGUAGGGGGCUAGCGUUGUCCGGAAUCAUUGGGCGUAAAGAGCGUGUAGGCGGUCCGGUAAGUCCGUUGUGAAAGUCAGGGGCUCAACCCUUGAAUGCCGGCGGAUACUGUCGGGCUAGAGUCCGGAAGAGGCGAGUGGAAUUCCCGGUGUAGCGGUGAAAUGCGCAGAUAUCGGGAGGAACACCUAUGGCGAAGGCAGCUCGCUGGGACGGUACUGACGAUGAGACGCGAAAGCGUGGGGAGCGAACAGG